RNAcentral lists this ribosomal RNA (2125 nucleotides) under human gut metagenome. Its description in RNAcentral is "bacterial LSU rRNA". It matches the Rfam family "Bacterial large subunit ribosomal RNA", at positions 731 to 2838 of the family's 2925-position model. The record is from RNAcentral.
UAGCCAUGGGCAGGUUCAAGGUUGGGUAACACUAACUGGAGGACCGAACCGACUAAUGUUGAAAAAUUAGCGGAUGACUUGUGGCUGGGGGUGAAAGGCCAAUCAAACCGGGAGAUAGCUGGUUCUCCCCGAAAUCUAUUUAGGUAGAGCCUUGAGCGGACACCUUCGGGGGUAGAGCACUGUUUCGGCUAGGGGUCCAUCCCGGAUUACCAACCCGAUGCAAACUACGAAUACCGAAGAGUGAUACUCAGGAGACACACGGCGGGUGCUAACGUCCGUCGUGGAGAGGGAAACAACCCAGACCGCCAGCUAAGGUCCCAAAGUCUAUAUUAAGUGGGAAACGAAGUGGGAAGGCUUAGACAGCUAGGAUGUUGGCUUAGAAGCAGCCAUCAUUUAAAGAAAGCGUAAUAGCUCACUAGUCGAGUCGGCCUGCGCGGAAGAUGUAACGGGGCUCAAAUAUAGCACCGAAGCUGCGGCAUCAGACGUAAGUCUGUUGGGUAGGGGAGCGUUCUGUAAGCGGAUGAAGGUGAAUCGAGAGGUUUGCUGGACGUAUCAGAAGUGCGAAUGCUGACAUAAGUAACGAUAAAACGGGUGAAAAACCCGUUCGCCGGAAGACCAAGGGUUCCUGUCCAACGUUAAUCGGGGCAGGGUGAGUCGGCCCCUAAGGCGAGGCUGAAAAGCGUAGUCGAUGGGAAACGGGUUAAUAUUCCCGUACUUGGAUAAACUGCGAUGUGGGGACGGAGCAGGUUAGGUUAUCGCACUGUUGGAUAUGUGCGUUUAAGUUUGUAGGUGUGAAGUUUAGGCAAAUCCGGACUUCUAUAACACCGAGAGAUGAUGACGAGGCUCUACGGAGCUGAAGUAACCGAUACCACACUUCCAGGAAAAGCCACUAAGCUUCAGGUUUAUCUAAACCGUACUGAAAACCGACACAGGUGGUCAGGUAGAGAAUACUCAGGCGCUUGAGAGAACUCGGGUGAAGGAACUAGGCAAAAUAGCACCGUAACUUCGGGAGAAGGUGCGCCGGCGUAGAUUGUAGUCCCUUGCGGAUGAAGGUUGAACCGGUCGAAGAUACCAGCUGGCUGCAACUGUUUAUUAAAAACACAGCACUCUGCAAACACGAAAGUGGACGUAUAGGGUGUGAUGCCUGCCCGGUGCUGGAAGGUUAAUUGAUGGUGUAAUCGAAAGAGAAGCUCCUGAUCGAAGCCCCAGUAAACGGCGGCCGUAACUAUAACGGUCCUAAGGUAGCGAAAUUCCUUGUCGGGUAAGUUCCGACCUGCACGAAUGGCAUAAUGAUGGCCAGGCUGUCUCCACCCGAGACUCAGUGAAAUUGAAAUCGCCGUGAAGAUGCGGUGUACCCGCGGCUAGACGGAAAGACCCCGUGAACCUUUACUAUAGCUUGACACUGAACAUUGAAUUUUGAUGUGUAGGAUAGGUGGGAGACUUUGAAGUAGUCACGCCAGUGAUUAUGGAGUCGACCUUGAAAUACCACCCUUUAACGUUUGAUGUUCUAACGAAGAUUACGAAACGUGGUCUCGGACAGUGUCUGGUGGGUAGUUUGACUGGGGCGGUCUCCUCCCAAAGAGUAACGGAGGAGCACGAAGGUUUGCUAAUGACGGUCGGACAUCGUCAGGUUAGUGCAAUGGUAUAAGCAAGCUUAACUGCGAGACAGACAAGUCGAGCAGGUACGAAAGUAGGUCAUAGUGAUCCGGUGGUUCUGAAUGGAAGGGCCAUCGCUCAACGGAUAAAAGGUACUCCGGGGAUAACAGGCUGAUACCGCCCAAGAGUUCAUAUCGACGGCGGUGUUUGGCACCUCGAUGUCGGCUCAUCACAUCCUGGGGCUGAAGUAGGUCCCAAGGGUAUGGCUGUUCGCCAUUUAAAGUGGUACGCGAGCUGGGUUUAGAACGUCGUGAGACAGUUCGGUCCCUAUCUGCCGUGGGCGUUGGAGAAUUGAUUGGGGCUGCUCCUAGUACGAGAGGACCGGAGUGGACGCACCACUGGUGUUCCGGUUGUGUCGCCAGACGCAUUGCCGGGUAGCUAAGUGCGGAAGAGAUAAGUGCUGAAAGCAUCUAAGCACGAAACUUGCCAAGAGAUGAGUUCUCCCAGAUUUAAAAUCUGUAAGGGUUGU